Molecule: ribosomal RNA, 433 nt
Filed under: uncultured bacterium
Lineage: Bacteria
Description: partial 16S ribosomal RNA
Rfam family: Bacterial small subunit ribosomal RNA
Source: RNAcentral
AACGAACGCUGGCGGCAUGCCUAACACAUGCAAGUCGAACGAGACCUUCGGGUCUAGUUGCGUACGGGUGCGUAACGCGUGGGAACCUGCCCUUAGGUUCGGAAUAACUCCCCGAAAGGGGUGCUAAUACCGGAUAAUGUCUUCGGACCAAAGAUUUAUCGCCUUUGGAUGGGCCCGCGUUGGAUUAGCUAGUUGGUAGGGUAAAAGCCUACCAAGGCGACGAUCCAUAGCUGGUCUGAGAGGAUGAUCAGCCACACUGGGACUGAGACACGGCCCAGACUCCUACGGGAGGCAGCAGUGGGGAAUAUUGGACAAUGGGCGAAAGCCUGAUCCAGCAAUGCCGCGUGAGUGAUGAAGGCCUUAGGGUUGUAAAGCUCUUUUACCCGGGAUGAUAAUGACAGUACCGGGAGAAUAAGCUCCGGCUAACUCCGUG